UUCAUUAAUCAGGAACGAAAGUUAGGGGAUCGAAGACGAUCAGAUACCGUCGUAGUCUUAACCAUAAACUAUGCCGACUAGGGAUCGGACGAUGUUAUUUAGUUGACUCGUUCGGCACCUUACGAGAAAUCAAAGUGCUUGGGCUCCAGGGGGAGUAUGGUCGCAAGGCUGAAACUUAAAGAAAUUGACGGAAGGGCACCACCAGGGGUGGAGCCUGCGGCUUAAUUUGACUCAACACGGGGAAACUCACCAGGUCCAGACACAAUGAGGAUUGACAGAUUGAGAGCUCUUUCUUGAUUUUGUGGGUGGUGGUGCAUGGCCGUUCUUAGUUGGUGGAGUGAUUUGUCUGCUUAAUUGCGAUAACGAACGAGACCUUAACCUGCUAAAUAGCCCGCAUUGCUUAGGCAGUGCGCCGGCUUCUUAGAGGGACUAUCGGCUCAAGCCGAUGGAAGUUUGAGGCAAUAACAGGU
RNAcentral lists this ribosomal RNA (470 nucleotides) under uncultured fungus. RNAcentral describes it as "SSU rRNA". It matches the Rfam family "Eukaryotic small subunit ribosomal RNA", at positions 969 to 1461 of the family's 1831-position model. Lineage: Eukaryota; Fungi. The record is from RNAcentral.